GGAAAAAGCAUUUCUUAUCACUACAAAAAAAAAAGCGUUUUUCCCACGGAAUAUUUCUCACGGAAUUAAUUCCGUCAGAAAUAUUUGAAUUUUGAACAUAAUUUUUUCCACGGAAUUCAUUCCGUCGAAAGUAUAACUUACCCACAGAUGGUUACCCACGGAGAUCUAUUCGUCGAAAAUUUGAUACCUUUCUGGCAGAUUAUUUGAAUGGAAUAUGCAUCCGUCGGAAUUUAAAAAUUUUCCCAAACAUAAAGACCCCAACCCUAAUUGCCUCUCACUCACUUACCCACAAAUCAUUUCUUCCUCCCACGGUGCCAUCGCUAGCUCCCAUUCUGUCACCGACGUUGCCGCCCCACCACAGUGAGCCCACACAAGGAAUGUCGCCCCCGCUGUCUUUCUUCACUGGGGCUACAGCGGCAUCGAUUCUGGGUCUCUACGCCCUCCACAAGGGAUUGUCGCACCUGCCAAUAAUACAUAACAACACAUCCUAGGGUUCAUGGUCCCAUUCUCUUUGUCCUUUGCCUUUGUAUUCCCUCACAACAACGGUCAUUUGAAAGUUGAAGAGGAACAAUGCCUUCUCAAAGUGAACAACACUAGAAGAAAGAAGAGGAGAGUGUAGAUGCACAAACACAUAAUUUUCUCAAAAGCCCUGUUUCACUAUCUUAUUACAAAUAAUUUUAUUCUCUGUCACUUGUUUAUCUCACAUGAUUAUGGUGCUUCUCAAAUUUAUGGCUAAUUGAGAAAAGCCAUGCUUAUACCAGGACAAAACAAAAAAUAAAAGUCCUUAAAUUAACUAA
Molecule: long non-coding RNA, 797 nt
Organism: Glycine soja
Lineage: Eukaryota; Viridiplantae; Streptophyta; Magnoliopsida; Fabales; Fabaceae
Exons: 3
Source: RefSeq, a predicted model, not a curated record